GACGGGGAGCACCACAACGGGUGGAGCUUGCGGUUUAAUUGGAUUCAACGCCGGAAAUCUUACCGGGACCGACAGCAAUAUGAAGGCCAGGCUGAAGACUUUGCCGGAUUAGCUGAGAGGUGGUGCAUGGCCGUCGUCAGUUCGUACUGUGAAGCAUCCUGUUAAGUCAGGCAACGAGCGAGACCCACGCCCACAGUUGCCAGCGUACUCUCCGGAGUGACGGGUACACUGUGGGGACCGCCGCUGCUAAAGCGGAGGAAGGAAUGGGCAACGGUAGGUCAGUAUGCCCCGAAUAUCCCGGGCUACACGCGAGCUACAAUGGUUGGUACAAUGGGUAUCUACCCCGAAAGGGGACGGGAAUCUCCUAAAACCAAUCUUAGUUCGGAUUGAGGGCUGCAACUCGCCCUCAUGAAGCUGGAAUCCGUAGUAAUCGCGUUUCAACAGAACGCGGUGAAUACGUCCCUGCUCCUU
RNAcentral lists this ribosomal RNA (471 nucleotides) under uncultured Methanosaeta sp. RNAcentral describes it as "bacterial SSU rRNA". It matches the Rfam family "Archaeal small subunit ribosomal RNA", at positions 871 to 1337 of the family's 1478-position model. The record is from RNAcentral. Lineage: Archaea; Methanobacteriati; Methanobacteriota; Methanomicrobia; Methanotrichales; Methanotrichaceae.